Molecule: ribosomal RNA, 371 nt
Filed under: uncultured organism
Description: partial 16S ribosomal RNA
Rfam family: Bacterial small subunit ribosomal RNA
Source: RNAcentral
GUAGGUGGCAAGCGUUGUCCGGAAUUAUUGGGCGUAAAGCGCGCGCAGGCGGUUCUUUAAGUCUGAUGUGAAAGCCCACGGCUCAACCGUGGAGGGUCAUUGGAAACUGGAGAACUUGAGUACAGAAGAGGAAAGCGGAAUUCCACGUGUAGCGGUGAAAUGCGUAGAGAUGUGGAGGAACACCAGUGGCGAAGGCGGCUUUCUGGUCUGUAACUGACGCUGAGGCGCGAAAGCGUGGGGGAGCAAACAGGAUUAGAUACCCUGGUAGUCCACGCCGUAAACGAUGAGUGCUAAGUGUUAGGGGGUUUCCGCCCCUGAGUGCUGCAGCUAACGCAUUAAGCACUCCGCCUGGGAGUACGGCCGCAAGGCUG